Molecule: transfer RNA, 85 nt
Filed under: Felis catus (domestic cat)
Lineage: Eukaryota; Metazoa; Chordata; Mammalia; Carnivora; Felidae
Also listed under: 2 other names
Rfam family: tRNA
About the family: Transfer RNA (tRNA) molecules are approximately 80 nucleotides in length. Their secondary structure includes four short double-helical elements and three loops (D, anti-codon, and T loops).
Source: Rfam by way of RNAcentral
GCCUGGGUGGCUCAGUCGGUUAAGCGUCCGACUUCGGCUCAGGUCAUGAUCUCACGGUCUGUGGGUUCAAGCCCCACGUCGGGCU